AUUGAACGCUGGCGGCAUGCUUUACACAUGCAAGUCGAACGGCAGCGCGGACUUCGGUCUGGCGGCGAGUGGCGAACGGGUGAGUAAUAUAUCGGAACGUACCCAAGAGUGGGGAUAACGUAGCGAAAGUUACGCUAAUACCGCAUACGAUCUAAGGAUGAAAGCAGGGGAUCGCAAGACCUUGUGCUCCUGGAGCGGCCGAUAUCUGAUUAGCUAGUUGGUGAGGUAAAGGCUCACCAAGGCGACGAUCAGUAGCUGGUUUGAGAGAACGACCAGCCACACUGGAACUGAGACACGGUCCAGACUCCUACGGGAGGCAGCAGUGGGGAAUUUUGGACAAUGGGGGCAACCCUGAUCCAGCAAUGCCGCGUGAGUGAAGAAGGCCUCGGUGU
This 392-nucleotide ribosomal RNA is filed under the name uncultured bacterium. Its description in RNAcentral is "bacterial SSU rRNA". It matches the Rfam family "Bacterial small subunit ribosomal RNA", at positions 30 to 423 of the family's 1533-position model. The record is from RNAcentral.